AGUAAUGCUUGGGAAUCUGGCCUAUGGAGGGGGAUAACGACGGGAAACUGUCGCUAAUACCGCGUAUUAUCGGAAGAUGAAAGUGCGGGACUGAGAGACCGCAUGCCAUAGGAUGAGCCCAAGUGGGAUUAGGUAGUUGGUGGGGUAAAGGCCUACCAAGCCUGCGAUCUCUAGCUGGUCUGAGAGGAUGACCAGCCACACUGGAACUGAGACACGGUCCAG
RNAcentral lists this ribosomal RNA (222 nucleotides) under uncultured bacterium. RNAcentral describes it as "partial 16S ribosomal RNA". It matches the Rfam family "Bacterial small subunit ribosomal RNA", at positions 109 to 334 of the family's 1533-position model. The record is from RNAcentral.